ACGACCAAAGGUAGUGGAAAAUACGGGAUCCCCGACCGCUCUCACUUAGUCAAGCCACUAACCGGCGGAUUAGUAGUUGGGUCGGUGACGACCAGCGAAUCCCCGCUGUUGUGUGU
RNAcentral lists this ribosomal RNA (116 nucleotides) under Fusarium acuminatum CS5907. Lineage: Eukaryota; Fungi; Ascomycota; Sordariomycetes; Hypocreales; Nectriaceae. The record is from RNAcentral.